Non-coding RNA from Gasterosteus aculeatus aculeatus (three-spined stickleback), 1459 nucleotides. NCBI's taxonomy places the organism in Eukaryota, Metazoa, Chordata, Actinopteri, Perciformes, Gasterosteidae. The record is from RefSeq and is a predicted model, not a curated record.
UCCAACCAGAAGUGCAAGCAGAUAAAGUGCAGAGUGUACAUAAAUAAAUGUACAGUGUGAAAUGUACAUGGAGCAGUAUGUGCAUUAAGCAGGUGGGUUGUAAAUACGAAUGACAAGUUAGUGCAAAUGUAACAUAGUUGUGCAAAUAUGGCAUAAUUGUGCAACUCAGCAGGGUGACAGCGGUAGUUUUCACCCUCCUUUGGCUUUGCACACAAUAAGCUCCUUGGUGACACCGAUGAUCAUUCCACACACAUGUUUAUCAAUUUAUAGUGAUGGAUAUGCUUUGAUAUGUUACUGUAACAAUUUGCAUCACCAGUGAGUCAAACACACAUUUAUCUUUUAAUAUUUGGGAAUAAGGGGAUACAAUAAUUGUAGUCUAUUAAAAAAGGAUUUAAAAUAAGAUCUGGUUCAUCUUUUGGUAAUUUGAUAUUUGGUAGUUAUCAGUUACCAGGGAAAGAAUGAUGAAAUAACAAAUUCUACAGCAGCAAAUGUAAAUGAUCAUGUAAGUAGGCAUCAAGUAAAGAAUUAAUCAGAAAUUACUUUGUUUGAAAAAUUGAUGAGUGGAGUUAGAAAGACUGGCAAAUCCUAUUUGUGUGUUCUAUAUUUGUGUGUACUAAAAUGUGUUCUGUGAACCAAGGAGAUCUUUGUCCAGGGCAAAGUCCCCCCCGCGUGCGCUUGAUUAGCAAGCUAGCCGCGUAGCCAGACAACCUCCCUCCUCCGUUUGUAGAGUAAUAGCACAUUUCGCUCUUAUCUCGCAAAUUAGAAAAAAACAUUUCUUUCAGCACAAUAUUCCCCCAUCACAUCCCGUGGGAAUUCACCAGCCAAUGACGUCGCAGUGAGGACUAGCCAAUCACAGCACAGCAGGGCGCGGACUAGCCAAUCACAGCACAGCAGGGCGCGUGGACACGAGUGGCGACCAGGCGGUUUGUCUGUUCGACGUGUGGCUGCUGGUUGUUCGCUCAAAGACAUUAAGUAUCCAGAACUUCUCCAGCCGAAGGAAAAGCGAGUAGGAGUCAGACUUUUCCAGCAGAGCAGAUCAGAAGGUGUUCCCGGCGGUCGACUGGGCAUCAACGGAGAGGCCCUGCAGCCAUGUUGGUGUCCUGCGGCUUUGGUGGUGGUUGCGGUUUGACUUGGAAGCUGGCGAUGCACCUAGACAGGAGGGACGUGUUGAGGUCGGAGAUCCUGAAUACGCGGUUGGAUAAACGUUUGUGAGACACUGGGGCAUCGCUGAGCAGCCGGGUUCCUACGGUCUCUUCUGGUCGCCGCUAAAACGUUCUGUCGCUUAUUGUUUAGCCUUUUCUUGGGGCGGAUUCCCGGGAUGAGCAUUUGUUCUGGCUGUUGAAAAACCCUGAGUACCAGCCUUAAAUGACAGCAGUGCAUAAAGCAUGCAUUAGCGAAUCACUGCCUGUAUGUCACAGUACAGUGAGCUCAAAACUACAUGCAUAAACAUUACAGCUGA